AGGGAUCUUCGGAUUUGGGAUUCAAUUAUUGUGAUGUGUAGUUUGUAAUUGUGAUUGCUCUGUUUUAUAGUUGUAGUUAUAUAUCACAAGGAGAGAUUUUUUUUAUAUAUUAUAGAAGUGAUGAACUAAGCCCAAAUCUCAAAUCUUUAAUCUCACUUGACCAUAGAAUCAAUCAUUCAUUCUUUGAUUUUUGUAAAUAUGGGGAAGUUCGUGAGAAGACAGAGAAAGCGUAAAUAUGGGGAAGUGUAAAUAUUAAGAAAGAGAGACAGAGAAAGUGUAAAUAUGGGGAAGUUCGUGAGAAGGGGUUGGGUAGUGGCGUGUGUGUUGGUGUUACUGAUGUCGACUCAUUUUACAUCCCCUAUCCGGAGAUAUGCUGAUUUGUGCAGGUAUGGAAUCGCCACCAUGUCUUGUCUUUAAACAGUAUUCACAUGGAGGUAGUAGAGCCUCAGCCUAAUCGACCAAAACUCCAACUCACUCUCUUGUAAAACUCUCCAACCUUGUAGUUUUACUUUCACUUGUGUACCAAUGUCAAGAGUUUAGGUGGUUUUACGUUUGUUACCUCUUUGUGUUCAUUAUCGAAGUCAAAGACAUUGUAUCAUCAUUUAUGUUAUCUAUAGAUGGAUGUGAGUGGCUGUGCAUCAAUUUUGGUCA
Camelina sativa (false flax) is the source of this 651-nucleotide long non-coding RNA. RefSeq lists it as uncharacterized. The record is from RefSeq and is a predicted model, not a curated record. Lineage: Eukaryota; Viridiplantae; Streptophyta; Magnoliopsida; Brassicales; Brassicaceae.